This 83-nucleotide transfer RNA is filed under the name Candidatus Scybalocola faecipullorum. RNAcentral's name for it is "tRNA-Leu". It matches the Rfam family "tRNA". From Rfam's summary of the family: Transfer RNA (tRNA) molecules are approximately 80 nucleotides in length. Lineage: Bacteria; Bacillati; Bacillota; Clostridia; Lachnospirales; Lachnospiraceae. The record is from RNAcentral.
GCAGAAGUGGCGGAAAGGCAGACGCGCUAGAUUCAGGUUCUAGUGCUCGCAAGGGCGUGUGGGUUCAACUCCCAUCUUCUGCA